This 253-nucleotide ribosomal RNA is filed under the name uncultured bacterium. RNAcentral's name for it is "partial 16S ribosomal RNA". It matches the Rfam family "Bacterial small subunit ribosomal RNA", at positions 524 to 776 of the family's 1533-position model. The record is from RNAcentral.
UACGUAGGGUGCAAGCGUUGUCCGGAAUUAUUGGGCGUAAAGAGCUCGUAGGCGGUCCGUCACGUCGGCUGUGAAAACCCGGGGCUCAACUCCGGGCCUGCAGCCGAUACGGGCAGACUAGAGUUCGGCAGGGGAGACUGGAAUUCCUGGUGUAGCGGUGAAAUGCGCAGAUAUCAGGAGGAACACCGGUGGCGAAGGCGGGUCUCUGGGCCGAUACUGACGCUGAGGAGCGAAAGCGUGGGGAGCGAACAGG